UAACCCCUCUACAAGAGCGUUGCUCAAGGCCUGGCUUUUGGGGAGCCGUCCUCCUCCUAGGGCACAUCACUAGGCUCCCAAGGGCGGCAGGGCUCUUGUUUCAGCUCUGUCACUUAAAGGCAGGGUAACCUACGCAUGUCACCUAAAUUCCGAGCUACAGUUUUCCUAGUCUAUAUUGUUACUAAUAAUAGCCACCUUGUCGCCUCUUGACUGUUCUGAGGAUCAAAUGAGCUGAGGUGGAAAUGGAAGCUUGCCGAAGUGGAUUUUCUUCAGGGUCUUACAACUCACCAACAAGGGAGCAAACCCUCCUGUAUUGAUGAGCUCCUUGUUGGAGCCCCUCCCUCAUCCCAGUGUUGGACUUCCACCUGCUGACACCAAGAGAUUCCAAAGGCAUGGAAUACUACUCUAUUAAUAGAAAUAGAAAAUGAUGUUUUUGAAUUCACUCCUCGAAAUACAUUCACAGCUAUCUCAAAGGCCCUGGGACCAAGAAGGAUGGAAGGAUUUCCCCCCAUUUUAAAGUAGACUGCACUGAGCAAGGAGCAGCCUCUCCAGAAGGAAUAUCAGCUUCUGUCCCAACUUCACAUCCUGUAAGAAUUACGGAGUAUCAUCAACAAUUUUAAAUAUUGUCCCAGUCGCAUUUGUAAUUCUGGACCUACUGGUCCUUAGUGUAAAUACUCUGACAAUUACAAAUUGUAAAUACUUUGUAUUUCCCACUAGCCUUAAAUACUUCAUAUUCUCUCUCUGUUCUUGUAACCAAGAGGGCAGAAGCUACUGCCCUGUAAAGGGUGACCCCUGGUGAGUUGGCCCUCCUGGGGGCUCCCCACAGCAUGCCAGGCGGAGCUGGGUUGGGAGCCCUGGAAUCCAGUCUAUGGCUUUCUCUUCU
Physeter macrocephalus (sperm whale) is the source of this 883-nucleotide long non-coding RNA. RefSeq lists it as uncharacterized. NCBI's taxonomy places the organism in Eukaryota, Metazoa, Chordata, Mammalia, Artiodactyla, Physeteridae. The transcript is spliced from 3 exons. The record is from RefSeq and is a predicted model, not a curated record.